Molecule: ribosomal RNA, 459 nt
Filed under: uncultured Enterobacteriaceae bacterium
Lineage: Bacteria; Pseudomonadati; Pseudomonadota; Gammaproteobacteria; Enterobacterales; Enterobacteriaceae
Description: bacterial SSU rRNA
Rfam family: Bacterial small subunit ribosomal RNA
Source: RNAcentral
GCACAAGCGGUGGAGCAUGUGGUUUAAUUCGAUGCAACGCGAAGAACCUUACCUGGUCUUGACAUCCACGGAAGUUUUCAGAGAUGAGAAUGUGCCUUCGGGAACCGUGAGACAGGUGCUGCAUGGCUGUCGUCAGCUCGUGUUGUGAAAUGUUGGGUUAAGUCCCGCAACGAGCGCAACCCUUAUCCUUUGUUGCCAGCGGUCCGGCCGGGAACUCAAAGGAGACUGCCAGUGAUAAACUGGAGGAAGGUGGGGAUGACGUCAAGUCAUCAUGGCCCUUACGAUCAGGGCUACACACGUGCUACAAUGGCGCAUACAAAGAGAAGCGACCUCGCGAGAGCAAGCGGACCUCAUAAAGUGCGUCGUAGUCCGGAUUGGAGUCUGCAACUCGACUCCAUGAAGUCGGAAUCGCUAGUAAUCGUGGAUCAGAAUGCCACGGUGAAUACGUUCCCGGGCCUU